UAGGUUGCCUUUGGGCAGGCUCUCCUGAAUGUAGGCAGAGCCAACAAAGGCUGCAGCCUUUGUUGGCUCUGCCCACAUAGUCUUUCUUUCACACAUAGUCUUUCUUUCAGAUCCAUGGAUCUGAAAGAAAGACUAUGUGUGCGUGAUGCUAACAGGAGCGCGGCGAAUGCGAAUGGCGCUAUUGGCUGAUUCGAUAACGGAGAGAAGACGCCGUCGCCGAAGCUUGUGGAGCAUCAGCUGUAAGAUGCCUGGGUGAGCUCAUGACGCUAACGUGCUCAGCCAGACACGCCUGUUAGCAGAAGAACCGAGAGAAAUUGAUGGCGUCUCAAUCGGUCACUUCCUGUUGGCAGAUCCAGCGUAUCCUCUCAUGGACUGGAUCAUGAAAGGGUGAAUACGAGGGUGAACACGUGUUCACGGGUGAACACGAAACACAAACACCCAUUCCCCAAACAUCACCCCUGAGCAAGAGUUGUUCAAUGUCUACUUAAGCUCUGCAACGACCACGGUGGAGAUUGCGUUUGGGAGACUGAAGUCACAUUCACCCCUACAGUGAUUGCUACUUGUUGUGCGUUGCACAAUUUCUGUGAGAAUGAGAAGGAAGCUGUGGAUCCCAACUGGUCAGUGGAAGCGGCCACACUGGCAUCGAACCUGCCACAGCCAGGUGGUCGUGCCAACAAUCGUGGACGACACGCGUGGACAGAGGAUCAGAGCCGCCCUCACAGAUUACCUGAGUGCAAACCUGCCCCGCGCAGACCUUUAGACGUACUCAUUACAUAAUUGCCAGUUUGUCAUAGGUUUGUAAAUACAAUUCUUGUACAGUUCAUGUGUGUUUCAUUCCACAAAUAAAGAAUCUCACAGAAGUUUUA
Gasterosteus aculeatus aculeatus (three-spined stickleback) is the source of this 866-nucleotide long non-coding RNA. RefSeq lists it as uncharacterized. NCBI's taxonomy places the organism in Eukaryota, Metazoa, Chordata, Actinopteri, Perciformes, Gasterosteidae. The record is from RefSeq and is a predicted model, not a curated record.